Molecule: ribosomal RNA, 172 nt
Filed under: Myroides odoratimimus
Lineage: Bacteria; Pseudomonadati; Bacteroidota; Flavobacteriia; Flavobacteriales; Flavobacteriaceae
Description: partial 16S ribosomal RNA
Rfam family: Bacterial small subunit ribosomal RNA
Source: RNAcentral
GUAGUGGCGGGGACUCUUCCAAGACUGCGGGUGCGAACCGUGGGGAAGGUGGGGAUGACGUCAAAUCAUCACGGCCCUUAUAUCCUGGGCUACACACGUGCUACAAUGGGGAGUACAGAAAGCAGCUACCUGGCAACAGGAUGCGAAUCUCCAAAGCUUGUCUCAGUUCGGA